AGGAACCCUAUUUAAGAAUCCCAAAAACUUCGACCAAAAGAAAACCAACGAAGCGCGAACGUUAACUUUUACUCUUCCUUUUCACUAUUUUCUUCACAACCCACAUAUACCGCGAGGCAGUAUUACUGAAGGCAGAAAGCCACCAUAUAAGAACAUCCUGAAAAGGGUCGGGAUCCGAAAAGCAAUAUGGUCGAAGAAGAAGAAGAGCAUAUAUUCAGAGAGCUUUUGAAUAUUAAGGCACGGCGCACAGAUCUCUCUCUCUAUGAAGGCCGCCUCAAUGCAAUUUCAGGUAUAUGAAGCAAAGCAUAUGACUUUGUGGUAUUCUG
Lycium ferocissimum is the source of this 326-nucleotide long non-coding RNA. RefSeq lists it as uncharacterized. Lineage: Eukaryota; Viridiplantae; Streptophyta; Magnoliopsida; Solanales; Solanaceae. The transcript has 3 exons. The record is from RefSeq and is a predicted model, not a curated record.